GACGAACGCUGGCGGCGUGCUUAACACAUGCAAGUCGAACGGUGAAGUAGAGCUUGCUCUAUGGAUCAGUGGCGAACGGGUGAGUAACACGUGGGCAACCUGCCCCAGACUCUGGGAUAACUCCUCGAAAGAGGGGCUAAUACCGGAUAUUUGCAUUGCAAGACAUCUUGUGAUGCAGAGAGAAUUUCGGUCUGGGAUGGGCCCGCGGCCUAUCAGCUUGUUGGUGAGGUAACGGCUCACCAAGGCGACGACGGGUAGCCGGCCUGAGAGGGCGACCGGCCACACUGGGACUGAGACACGGCCCAGACUCCUACGGGAGGCAGCAGUGGGGAAUAUUGGGCAAUGGGCGCAAGCCUGACCCAGCAGCGCCGCGUGAGGGAUGAAGGUCCUCGGAUUGUAAACCUCUUUCAGCAGGGACGAAGCGAAAGUGACGGUACCUGCAGAAGAAGCACCGGCUAACUACGUGCCAGCCGCCGCCGUAA
RNAcentral lists this ribosomal RNA (482 nucleotides) under uncultured bacterium. RNAcentral describes it as "partial 16S ribosomal RNA". It matches the Rfam family "Bacterial small subunit ribosomal RNA", at positions 28 to 523 of the family's 1533-position model. The record is from RNAcentral.